AUGGACUUCGCCAUUUUGUAUUGGACUGGAUCGUCAUCUCACUAGUCUACGAUCGCCAAAUUGUAGAGUAAAAUACACCUCACUACACAGACGGUCUGUCUGAAUAUACAGCAUCAUUUCAUCGUCUAUAUGGUGGGACAACCUGCUAGACAGGGUAAGUUAUACUACAAAUAAAUUGAUUUCUGUGAUGCAAAGCUGGAUUUUCAUCAUUCCAGUGUCACAUGAUUAUUUAGAAAUCAUUUUAAUAUGAUGAUUUAUUGUCAAUAUUGGAAACAGGUGUUUUUUUUUCAAAUAAAUGCAGGCAUGAUAAGCAUAAGAGACUUCAUUCCAAACAUUUCACCGGUAGUGUACACACAUGCUGGGACACAAUAUUUCUGAAACAGAAAAAUACAUACUCUUCGUCUGACAAAAUCUUUAUCUGUCUCUAUAAAAACUAUUAUCUACAUAAAAAAUUGUUAAAGAAAAUCAUUAAAUAAUGUGGGUUUUUUGUCUUGUUCUAGUUGAAGACAUCUGUACCUACCUCAAAGAAGGCAUGGAGAAACAGAUUAAAGAAUAUGUGGUAAGUGUAUGUCAACCUACUCUAUUUUUAUAUCUAUCUAUUUAUAUGUAUGUGUAUGUGUGUGUAUAUAAAUAUCUUAUGGAUAACUAGAUGUUUAAACAAGGUGAUUAUCUGUUUUCAGGUCUUUUGAUGGUUUUGUGACUAAUGUUCUAUUAUUUUACACGUUUGAAUCAGUCUACAUAUUUUAAAUAUCAGAGU
Molecule: non-coding RNA, 757 nt
Organism: Misgurnus anguillicaudatus (oriental weatherfish)
Lineage: Eukaryota; Metazoa; Chordata; Actinopteri; Cypriniformes; Cobitidae
Source: RefSeq, a predicted model, not a curated record